GACGAACCAUCCAAACGUUAUUCGGAAUCACUGGGCUUAAAGGGUGCGUAGGCGGCCCGAAAAGUUGGGUGUGAAAUACCUCGGCCUAACCGAGGAAUUGCGCCCAAAACUGCCGGGCUCGAGGAAGACAUAGGUGAGCGGAACUUAGGGUGGAGCGGUGAAAUGCGUUGAUAUCCUAAGGAACACCAGUAGCGAAAGCGGCUCACUGGGUCUUAUCUGACGCUGAUGCACGAAAGCCAGGGGAGCGAACGGG
RNAcentral lists this ribosomal RNA (253 nucleotides) under uncultured bacterium. RNAcentral's name for it is "partial 16S ribosomal RNA". It matches the Rfam family "Bacterial small subunit ribosomal RNA", at positions 524 to 776 of the family's 1533-position model. The record is from RNAcentral.